RNAcentral lists this ribosomal RNA (387 nucleotides) under uncultured bacterium. RNAcentral describes it as "bacterial SSU rRNA". It matches the Rfam family "Archaeal small subunit ribosomal RNA", at positions 339 to 726 of the family's 1478-position model. The record is from RNAcentral.
GCGCGAAAACUUUAUAAUGCUGGCAACAGCGAUAAGGGAACCUCGAGUGCCAGGUUACAAAUCUGGCUGUCGAGAUGCCUAAAAAGCAUUUCAUAGCAAGGGCCGGGCAAGACCGGUGCCAGCCGCCGCGGUAACACCGGCGGCUCGAGUGGUAACCGUUAUUAUUGGGUCUAAAGGGUCUGUAGCCGGCCGGAUAAGUCUCUUGGGAAAUCUGGCAGCUCAACUGUCAGGCUUUCAGGAGAUACUGUCUGGCUCGAGGCCGGGAGAGGUGAGAGGUACUUCAGGGGGAGGGGUGAAAUCUUGUAAACCUUGAAGGACCACCAGUGGCGAAGGCGUCUCACCAGAACGGACCUGACGGCAAGGGACGAAAGCUAGGGGCACGAACCG